AAGCAGUGGGAGCACAGAGCAAUCUGUGUGACUGCGUACCUUUUGUAUAAUGGGUCAGCGACUUAUAUUCUGUAGCAAGGUUAACCGAAUAGGGGAGCCGAAGGGAAACCGAGUCUUAACUGGGCGUUAAGUUGCAGGGUAUAGACCCGAAACCCGGUGAUCUAGCCAUGGGCAGGUUGAAGGUUGGGUAACACUAACUGGAGGACCGAACCGACUAAUGUUGAAAAAUUAGCGGAUGACUUGUGGCUGGGGGUGAAAGGCCAAUCAAACCGGGAGAUAGCUGGUUCUCCCCGAAAGCUAUUUAGGUAGCGCCUCGUGAAUUCAUCUCCGGGGGUAGAGCACUGUUUCGGCAAGGGGGUCAUCCCGACUUACCAACCCGAUGCAAACUGCGAAUACCGGAGAAUGUUAUCACGGGAGACACACGGCGGGUGCUAACGUCCGUCGUGAAGAGGGAAACAACCCAGACCGCCAGCUAAGGUCCCAAAGUCAUGGUUAAGUGGGAAACGAUGUGGGAAGGCCCAGACAGCCAGGAUGUUGGCUUAGAAGCAGCCAUCAUUUAAAGAAAGCGUAAUAGCUCACUGGUCGAGUCGGCCUGCGCGGAAGAUGUAACGGGGCUAAACCAUG
This 624-nucleotide ribosomal RNA is filed under the name Escherichia coli. RNAcentral's name for it is "partial 23S ribosomal RNA". It matches the Rfam family "Bacterial large subunit ribosomal RNA", at positions 568 to 1191 of the family's 2925-position model. Lineage: Bacteria; Pseudomonadati; Pseudomonadota; Gammaproteobacteria; Enterobacterales; Enterobacteriaceae. The record is from RNAcentral.